RNAcentral lists this ribosomal RNA (301 nucleotides) under uncultured bacterium. Its description in RNAcentral is "partial 16S ribosomal RNA". It matches the Rfam family "Bacterial small subunit ribosomal RNA", at positions 509 to 808 of the family's 1533-position model. The record is from RNAcentral.
CAGUAGCGCGGUAAUACAGAGGGUGCGAGCGUUAAUCGGAUUUACUGGGCGUAAAGCGUGCGUAGGCGGCUUCUUAAGUCGGAUGUGAAAUCCCUGAGCUUAACUUAGGAAUUGCAUUCGAUACUGGGAAGCUAGAGUAUGGGAGAGGAUGGUAGAAUUCCAGGUGUAGCGGUGAAAUGCGUAGAGAUCUGGAGGAAUACCGAUGGCGAAGGCAGCCAUCUGGCCUAAUACUGACGCUGAGGUACGAAAGCAUGGGGAGCAAACAGGAUUAGAUACCCCAGUAGUCCCUGUCUCUUAUACA